GGUGAACGCUGGCGGUAGGCCUAACACAUGCAAGUCGAACGGCAGCACAGUAAGAGCUUGCUCUUACGGGUGGCGAGUGGCGGACGGGUGAGGAAUACAUCGGAAUCUACUUUUUCGUGGGGGAUAACGUAGGGAAACUUACGCUAAUACCGCAUACGACCUACGGGUGAAAGCAGGGGAUCUUCGGACCUUGCGCGAUUGAAUGAGCCGAUGUCGGAUUAGCUAGUUGGCGGGGUAAAGGCCCACCAAGGCGACGAUCCGUAGCUGGUCUGAGAGGAUGAUCAGCCACACUGGAACUGAGACACGGUCCAGACUCCUACGGGAGGCAGCAGUGGGGAAUAUUGGACAAUGGGCGCAAGCCUGAUCCAGCCAUACCGCGUGGGUGAAGAAGGCCUUCGGGUUGUAAAGCCCUUUUGUUGGGAAAGAAAAGCAGCAGGUUAAUACCACGCUGUUCUGACGGUACCCAAAGAAUAAGCACCGGCUAACUUCGUG
Molecule: ribosomal RNA, 492 nt
Filed under: uncultured bacterium
Lineage: Bacteria
Description: partial 16S ribosomal RNA
Rfam family: Bacterial small subunit ribosomal RNA
Source: RNAcentral